Molecule: transfer RNA, 72 nt
Filed under: Camelus bactrianus (Bactrian camel)
Lineage: Eukaryota; Metazoa; Chordata; Mammalia; Artiodactyla; Camelidae
Also listed under: 1 other name
Rfam family: tRNA
About the family: Transfer RNA (tRNA) molecules are approximately 80 nucleotides in length. Their secondary structure includes four short double-helical elements and three loops (D, anti-codon, and T loops).
Source: Rfam by way of RNAcentral
GUAAGUAUGGCUCAGUGGUAAAGCUCAUGCUUAGCAUGCAUGAGGUCAUAGGUUCAAUCUCCAGUACCUCCA